Molecule: ribosomal RNA, 1293 nt
Filed under: Triticum aestivum (bread wheat)
Lineage: Eukaryota; Viridiplantae; Streptophyta; Magnoliopsida; Poales; Poaceae
Description: partial small subunit ribosomal RNA
Source: RNAcentral
AUGGAAGGGCUCAACGUCGACGAAGUCUUCCAGCACUUCCGCUUGAACCCUACAGAGGUGGAGGCCGUCACUUACUACCUUCCACGCCUCAUCGCCGGCGAGACGCACGGCGCCGAGAAGCUCAUCCACGACGCCCACGUCUACGACUGCGAGCCCAAGGAUCUGGCCGCCCGCUACGCGCCGGUGCCGCAGGCGGUGAGCAGCGGCGACCGCUUCUUCUUCACCACGUGCAAGCGCGCGAAGGGAAGGACCACCCGUUGCGCGCGCAAAGCCGGCGGCGGGACCUGGACCGUCAACACGACCACGGUCGUCACGCACGCGGGAGUCGACGUCGGCGAGAGGAAGAACCUGUCCUUCAAGAAGCAGGGCAAGUCCACCGGCUGGGUCAUGGAGGAGUACCGACUCCUGCCGCCGCCAGAGGCCGUCGUCGCCGACGAGGAGAAGGUCUUCUGCAAGAUUCACUUGUCCCAGCACGCUCCUGACGAGGCCCGCCGUGAAUCGGCCGCGUACAAGCAUCAAGGAAGAGCAGAGCCCGUGCCACGACCCGCGCCGCAACCAGAGCACGCAGGAAAGAGGCCAGCGCCGGGUGCCGUCGCGGAUCCUCAUCCGCCGCGCCCCAUGAAGAGGAUCCGAGUUGAUGUCCCCGUCCCGGAACCUGCCACCCCGUCGUUCACCGCCGCAGCACCGGUCUCCUUGCCGGCUGAGCCCAUACCUGAAGCUGAGGACGACAUGGCCUGGCUCUCUUGCACAAUGGAAGAACUUCUCGGGGAGGUACAACUGGAGGAAACUCUCCCGGUCCAAGCUAGAAACAGCAUCGAACAGAAUUUCUACUCUGAAUCACAGGAGCCGCAAAAUCUUUUCGCUGAUGCUGAAGAAGAAAUCGUGGGGACUUCCAAUGCCGCGGCCGAUCUUCAAGCUCCAUUUGAAGCAGAGUGUCAGGCCGAAGAGGCGCUCGACAUGGAGAUGCUUUUCGCUAUGACGGAUGAAGCAGCAGCAGAGCAGGAGCGGCAGGCCGUCUCGACGAACGACAACUCUUCCAUGGUCCAAGACAAGCCGAUCUUCCUCCAUCCAUCUGAAACAAAGUGGCAGGCGGACAAUGCCGCGGCCGAUCUUCAGGCUCCAUCGCUUCAGGGAGACGACCACCUGUUCAACUCGCGGCCGAGCUUCUCCGAUCCAUUUGAAGCAGCGUGGCGGGCCGAAGAGGCGCUCGAGAAGGAGAAUGCCGCGGCCAAUCUUCAGGCUGGACCGCUUGCGGGACACAACGACUUCUUCUGGUCUUCAACUGUAUAUUGA